GCGGGUGUGGUUCAAUGGUAGAACGCCGGCUUCCCAAGCCAGAAGCGUGGGUUCGAUUCCCAUCAUCCGCU
Molecule: transfer RNA, 71 nt
Filed under: Clostridiales bacterium
Lineage: Bacteria; Bacillati; Bacillota; Clostridia; Eubacteriales
Description: tRNA-Gly
Rfam family: tRNA
About the family: Transfer RNA (tRNA) molecules are approximately 80 nucleotides in length. Their secondary structure includes four short double-helical elements and three loops (D, anti-codon, and T loops).
Source: RNAcentral